RNAcentral lists this ribosomal RNA (426 nucleotides) under Lineus sanguineus. RNAcentral's name for it is "partial 16S ribosomal RNA". It matches the Rfam family "Bacterial large subunit ribosomal RNA", at positions 1924 to 2576 of the family's 2925-position model. The record is from RNAcentral. Lineage: Eukaryota; Metazoa; Nemertea; Pilidiophora; Heteronemertea; Lineidae.
UUAACGGCCGCGGUAUCCUGACCGUGCAAAGGUAGCAUAAUCACUUGUCCUUUAAUUGGGGGCUAGAAUGAAAGAAAGUUUGAGACCUCAUCUGUCUCUCUCUUAUAAAUAAAAUUUGCUGUCUUUGUGAAGAAGCAAAGGUGUCCGAAAAAGACAAGAAGACCCUAUUAAGCUUGAUCUUUUCAUUUUUAUCUAGAUUAAAUAAAAAUGAAAAGAUUUGGUUGGGGUGAUCAAAGAAGAUUUUUAUCUUCUUUUUUUUACAAGACUUUCCGUCAAAAAGUGACCCAGAAAAUUCUGGUUGUAAGAAUUAGUUACUAUAGGGAUAACAGCGUAAUCUUUUCAUAAAGUUCUUAUUGAAGAAAAGGAUUGCGACCUCGAUGUUGACUUAUUUUAUCCUAUUAAGGUGCAGUAGCUUUAAGGGUUGGU